Molecule: ribosomal RNA, 800 nt
Filed under: uncultured bacterium
Lineage: Bacteria
Description: bacterial SSU rRNA
Rfam family: Bacterial small subunit ribosomal RNA
Source: RNAcentral
AAAGGAAGCUAACAUGCAAGUCGAGGGGCAGCACGAUGUAGCAAUACAUUGAGUGGCGACCGGCGCACGGGUGAGUAACCCGUAUGCAACCUACCUAUCAGAGGGGAAUAACCCGGCGAAAGUCGGACUAAUACCGCAUAAAACAGGGGUUCCACAUGGAAAUAUUUGUUAAAGAAUUAUCGCUGAUAGAUGGGCAUGCGUUCCAUUACAUAGUUGGUGAGGUAACGGCUCACCAAGUCCACGAUGGAUAGGGGUUCUGAGAGGAAGGUCCCCCACACUGGUACUGAGACACGGACCAGACUCCUACGGGAGGCAGCAGUGAGGAAUAUUGGUCAAUGGGCGAGAGCCUGAACCAGCCAAGUCGCGUGAAGGAUGAAGGAUCUAUGGUUUGUAAACUUCUUUUAUAUGGGAAUAAAGUGAGGAACGUGUUCCUUUUUGUAUGUACCAUAUGAAUAAGCAUCGGCUAACUCCGUGCCAGCAGCCGCGGUAAUACGGAGGAUGCGAGCGUUAUCCGGAUUUAUUGGGUUUAAAGGGUGCGUAGGUGGUUAAUUAAGUCAGCGGUGAAAGUUUGUGGCUCAACCAUAAAAUUGCCGUUGAAACUGGUUGACUUGAGUAUAUUUGAGGUAGGCGGAAUGCGUGGUGUAGCGGUGAAAUGCAUAGAUAUCACGCAGAACUCCGAUUGCGAAGGCAGCUUACUAAACUAUAACUGACACUGAAGCACGAAAGCGUGGGGAUCAAACAGGAUUAGAUACCCUGGUAGUCCCCGCAGUAAACAAUGGAUACUAGGUGUGGGGGGACUG